AUGGAUUUUCAUGUGCAGAUUUUGAGCUUCAUGCUAAUCAGUGUCACAGUGUCCAGUGGAGAAAUUGUGCUCACCCAGUCUCCAGCACUCAUGGCUGCAUCUCCGGGGGAGAAGGUCACCAUGACCUGCACUGCCAGCUCAAGUGUAAGUACAAGUUACUUGCACUGGUACCAGCAGAAGUCAGGUGCCUCCCCCAAACUCUGGAUUUAUAGCACAUCCAACCUGGCUUCUGGAGUCCCAGCUCGCUUCAGUGGCAGUGGGUCUGGGACCUCUUACUCUCUCACAAUCAGCAGCGUGGAGGCUGAAGACUUUGCCACUUAUUACUGCCAGCAGUGGAGUAGUAACCAACCCACAAAAUCUUCCAGUGGCGAAUCCUGGUGGAUUCCACCACUGAUAACAGCCCCAGGUGUACAUCCUGCUGCCUUGCUGUCAUUGACCAAAAGGAAUUACCCUUCUCCUCUCUUCCCUGUUCAUCUCUCUGACCUGGAAGGCCUGCCUCUUUGCCCAGGGUUCUUGGAGCUCUAA
This is a non-coding RNA of Mus pahari (shrew mouse), 525 nucleotides long. NCBI's taxonomy places the organism in Eukaryota, Metazoa, Chordata, Mammalia, Rodentia, Muridae. The record is from the annotation of a RefSeq genome assembly.